CCCUUAGAUGUUCUGGGCCGCACGCGCGCUACACUGAUGCAUUCAACGAGUCUAAAACCUGGUCUGAUAGGGCUGGGUAAUCUUUUGAAAGUGCAUCGUGAUUGGGAUAGAUGAUUGCAAUUCUUCAUCUUCAACGAGGAAUGCCUAGUAAACGCAAGUCAUCAGCUUGCAUUGAUUACGUCCCUGCCCUUUGUACACACCGCCCGUCGCUCCUACCGAUUGAAUGAUCCGAUGAAUACCAUGGAUUGAGAGUACGAAUGGGUUCGCUCAUUUCUGCUGCUCGAGAAGUGGAGUAAAUCUUNUNAUUUAGNGGAAGGAGAANUCGUANCA
This 330-nucleotide ribosomal RNA is filed under the name uncultured eukaryote. Its description in RNAcentral is "partial 18S ribosomal RNA". It matches the Rfam family "Eukaryotic small subunit ribosomal RNA", at positions 1470 to 1796 of the family's 1831-position model. The record is from RNAcentral.